GCAAGGGGAGCGGCAGACGGGAGAGUAACACGUGGGAACGUACCCUUUGGUUCGGAACAACCCAGGGAAACUUGGGCUAAUACCGAAUAAGCCCUUACGGGGAAAGAUUUAUCGCCGAAGGAUCGGCCCGCGUCUGAUUAGCUAGUUGGUGAGGUAACGGCUCUCCAAGGCGACGAUCAGUAGCUGGUCUGAGAGGAUGAUCAGCCUCAUUGGGAGUGAGACACGGCCCAGACUCCUACGGGAGGCAGCAGUGGGGAAUAUUGGACAAUGGGCGCAAGCCUGAUCCACCCAUGCCGCGUGGGUGAUGAAGGCCCUAGGG
RNAcentral lists this ribosomal RNA (319 nucleotides) under uncultured bacterium. RNAcentral describes it as "bacterial SSU rRNA". It matches the Rfam family "Bacterial small subunit ribosomal RNA", at positions 86 to 422 of the family's 1533-position model. The record is from RNAcentral.